This is a long non-coding RNA of Clarias gariepinus (North African catfish), 2670 nucleotides long. RefSeq lists it as uncharacterized. The transcript has 3 exons. The record is from RefSeq and is a predicted model, not a curated record. NCBI's taxonomy places the organism in Eukaryota, Metazoa, Chordata, Actinopteri, Siluriformes, Clariidae.
GACAUAGCGUUCAUCACCAAAUCUUUCUUAAAAAUAACCUGGACCCAUAUUGCAUCAUUGAUCCUCACGUUUCACAGAGAUUUAAAGAAACCUGGAUAGAAAACGAAAGACAGGGUGUGGUACAUCGUGUCAUUCAGUCUCUUCAUGGGAUGUUUUCUAGGGCACUGAGCUGAGAAAUGGUGUAAUUUUCUAAGUAUAGUCCUGGCAGAAGGCACUGAUUCUCCAGCCUGCCAGCUUGAAACUUGGCUAGUGUUUCAUAAUGACUGAAAAACAGAUGGUCCUGUUAGCGAUAAGCCAGAAAGUGAUGGAACAGGGAAGCUUUCCGGAAAGCCAGGUUCAAAGGAUCAGAAGUAUUACAAGCACCCCUGCAGCAGUCAAGGGUUUGAGGGUCCAACAGCGGCGGCUUGGCAGCGACUGGAAUUUGAAAUUUCAACCCUCAAAUCAAUAAGCCCAAAACCUCAACUGCUGAGCCAUCCCUGCACAUGCAGCUAAAAUUAAACAAAAGUAAUGACUUGUGUCCACUUUGUGUGCUUCUGUCCCAGCCUGACCUCAGCCUUAGCGAGGAAAGCAUUCAGCAGAGCCCACGUCACCGACAACCCGGUAGUGGUAUGCGCAAAAAUGCGCUCACCUUCCAGACACAGGCGCAUAGUGAUCGCAGGGAAGAAUUAGCUGGGGUAAUUUAGGCCAGAGAGUGUGUCCCAUGCUUUAUUAACGGCACUGACCUUUCGUAUCUGUGUCCAUGAACCUGCGGCUGACUUGGCCACGUACCAAACGAAGCAGCACGCUCAGGGCACGCUACAUUUAUAGAAAUCGCACCAUGAUAGCUCUGCUAAGUGCUGGAAUCUGACUACAGGAGUUUGUUUAAAGCUUUAAUGCUUGCUGAGAUCUCAGCUGUCAACGAAACCAUCAAGCAAAUCCCACGAAAUAGUAUCUUCAUUGUAUUGUCCUUUAUGAAUCAUUGUCCUUUUAAACGCAUCACUUGAUCAAAGUUGCUCUCGUGCGUCUCAUGUAAUCUAGUUCUUAGCAGAGAAUGUAGACCAAGGGAUUUUCCUUUGGAAAUCCCAUUUUGAAGAACACUUCGUGCCUGCAAGAAGCACUUGUCUUCAUAUCUACUAACAAUCGUAGUGCAAAGAUGCUUGAAAGGUUGGUGAUCCGGGAAUAGUAUGUUUUUUAGUUUCGUAGGCUUAAAGGAGCUUAAAGGAUGUUACUUCAAAGAAUUGUUUUAUAGCUGUCCAAGAUGUUACCGCUGAAGUCUUAGAUUAUUGUUCCUGCCUACCAGGAUUUGCAGUUUCCUGAUGUUUUAUCUCAUCCACCUUAAGGAUGCACAUGGUACGGGAUGCUUUUCUGCUCACCGUGUUUGUAUAGACUGGUAAAGCCUUCCAUCUCUCUUCUAGUCUCCUUUGAGCUCUCAUAGCAACAAAGCAUUUUUGACUGCAGAACUGGGUGUUUUGUUUCCUCCAUUUCUUAGACACGCCAUUCCUUAUGCAUGCAAAUCUUAAAUAUCUCAACCAGCACAUCUUGCACCAAUAACCACAGUCACUGAGAUGGCAUUCCUUACGCAUUCUGAUGAUGUUUGACAUGGCAUUACAACCCUAAUGACAUCCUCAUCUCACUACACACACUCGGAUGGCAUCCCUUCCUUCCACACAUCAUCAUGAGAGACCAGAUGAAAAGCUUCCAGCCAGACAUGACUUUUAAUAAACCAAUAGCAUUUCAUGCAGAUUUCACCAAAGUCUCAGAAUUAUUUAGUCGGUGAACUAGGAACAAAGCUAGAUGUAAGGCAUAACGUAAAACGAAUGCAGAUCUAAUUGCAAGACAUUACAACAUACUCUAUAUAUAAGAGGUAGAUAAAAAUUUGAGGCCUGCUUGUAAUUUUUCAGCUUACUACCUGUGGUCAUUUUAUUUUAUAGCAGAAUCUGUGUAGGUAUGCUUUUGUAAAAGCUCUAAUAACCAGACUAUGCACAUAAUCAGCCAAAUUCCUUCUUUUUCAUGGAGCUUGCAGAAAGAUUUGGCUAGCGAUCUGGUUACGAUCCGUCCCCUGAAAAGUAUUCACAAUGUUUCGGACGCACAAAAUUAUACGUUCAUGUUCUGGCUGCAUGGUUCGAAUUUUCAUUUAUCAUUAGGUUAAAGCUGACUUGCAGAGGGGAAAAACGGCAGCUCUUAUACUGCACAGUCAUGGAUUUGCGUACACUCUCCCUUCCUGUCCCUCACACACUCUUUCCCUUCCGUCUCCUCCUCUGUCACUCCGUCUCUCUCCUGCCUUUUCCCAACCCAACAUUCCAGCUCAAAUGCUUGCACCUUGACCCCUUUGCGCACUAUUUGUGAGGAGUGCUUCUGGCCGACGUGCUGUCUUUGCUUAUCGUUACCAUGAGGCCCGUGCAGGGUGUGUGUGUGUGUGUGUGUAUGUGCAUGAGUGAAUGAGAGAGAGAGAGAGAGAGAGAGAGAAACAUGGCCAUUUUGUUAGUGACGUUAUGAAACACACAGCAUUGAUCAGGAGCUGCAGAGUGAUGAGACCCCAUCCCGUGCCUUCCCUCCCUCCUCACUUUGUUCAUGGUUCCCUCCUUCCUUCAUUCCUUCGUUCUCUUUGCCCUCAUUUUCUCUUUCUUUGUCUGGCUGUUGCGUUUUGUUUUUCUCCAUGUCCUGUUCACCCAUCUGUCAUGACAUCAUUUU